Molecule: ribosomal RNA, 1236 nt
Filed under: metagenome
Description: bacterial LSU rRNA
Rfam family: Bacterial large subunit ribosomal RNA
Source: RNAcentral
UGAGUACGAGAUGCUACGGCAUCGAAGCAGUCUAUGUCAUACUUCCAAGAAAAGCUUGCACUGUCAGAAACAGAUAAUGCCUGUACCAUAACCGACACAGGUGGGUAGGUAGAGUAUACUAAGGGGCGCGAGAUAACUCUCUCUAAGGAACUCGGCAAAAUGACUCCGUAACUUCGGGAGAAGGAGUGCCUUAUUUUUAAGGUUGCAAUAACAAGAUCCAAGCAACUGUUUACCAAAAACACAGGUCUCCGCUAAGUCGUAAGACGAUGUAUGGGGGCUGACGCCUGCCCAGUGCCAGAAGGUUAAAGAAGUCGGUUAGCAUUCGCGAAGCUGGUAACUGAAGCCCUGGUGAACGGCGGCCGUAACGAUAACGGUCCUAAGGUAGCGAAAUUCCUUGUCGGGUAAGUUCCGACCCGCACGAAAGGCGUAAUGAUUUGGAUACUGUCUCGGAGAGGGGCUCGGUGAAAUAGACUUGUCUGUGAAGAUGCGGACUACCUGCACCUGGACAGAAAGACCCUAUGAAGCUUUACUGUAACUUGAAAUUGAAAUUGGACUUUAUUUGCGCAGUAUAGGUGGGAGGCGUUGAAAAUAUUCUUGCGGGAAUAUUGGAGCCAUCAGUGAGAUACCACUCUUGUAAUGUUAGAUUUCUAACUUUAUAUCAUUAUCUGGUUAAAGAACAGUUUCAGGCGGGCAGUUUGACUGGGGCGGUCGCCUCCCAAAUGGUAACGGAGGCGCACAAAGGUUUCCUCUGAACGGGUAGAAAUCGUAUCUAGAGUGUAAAGGCAUAAGGAAGCUUGACUGUGAGACCUACAAGUCGAGCAGGGACGAAAGUCGGUCUUAGUGAUCUGACGGUGCUGAGUGGAAAGGCCGUCACUCAACGGAUAAAAGUUACUCUAGGAUAACAGGCUGAUCUCCCCCAAGAGUUCACAUCGACGGGGAGGUUUGGCACCUCGAUGUCGGCUCAUCGCAUCCUGGGGCGGUAGUACGUCCCAAGGGUUGGGCUGUUCGCCCAUGAAAGCGGUACGCGAGCUGGGUUCAGAACGUCGUGAGACAGUUCCGUCCAUAUCCGGUGUAGGCGUUAGAAUAUUGAGAGGAGCCUUCUUUAGUACGAGAGGACCGAGAAGGACAUACCUCUGGUGUACCAGUUAUCGUGCCAACGGUAAACGCUGGGUAGCUAUGUAUGGAGUGGAUAACCGCUGAAAGCAUCUAAGUGGGAAGCCCACCUCAAGAUAAGUA